GCGGGUGUUUGUGCGCGUGUAGGGUGGUGAUUUGCCGGUCUCGGUGGUGCUGGUGGCUCCCGCGGCCCUUGGCGCCCUGAGGUGGUGGGAGCUGCCCGCCAGCGGGACUCCUGGCGGCGCCGCGCGGUGGCUGUGAGCCCUGGGUGCAGCCUAGAGGUGAGGUAACGUGAAGGAUUCUGCAAUCAUGACAUUCGCACUUCCCAAGGGAGCCGUCCCUAGCAAUCUGUCAGAAGAAUGUAGCUCCUGAAAUUGCUUACUAAUAUGUGUACCAGUGGCAGAUGCUUUCUUUUUCCAGUAGUCGCUUGCCCUCCGCAGUCUGAAAUGCAUGCGUGCACCUAAGUGAUAGGUAGGGAAUGAGGCAGUAUCACAACUACUGCAUUUGGAAUAAACAGAAUUUGUAAGCCAAUUAGAAUUAAAGUAAUUAGAAUUACUCCCAAAUUCACAGUUUCUAUAGAGUUUCUAUAUAUUUUUUUCCUCAUGCUUUGUAUUUUCAUGCAGUACUUCUUAAUAUGGCUAUUGUUAAUUACAGAGAAUUAGAAUGUAGUUCUUCUAAGAGUAAAUUUGGUGUUAGACAUACAGUAUUAACACUAAACUAACAUGGGUUGAAAAGCAUUCAUCUUCACUCCAAAAGUCUGCAGAGUUGUAUAUCAACUGGAGCUGGUGGGGAUAGAUGACUUAAGCACUAUUCUUUCAGGUUUAUAAGUUUUGUUGGGCUUUAAGAGCCCACUGUGGGUCAGUGAGUAGUGAAGAGUCCCAAAAGCCUUCUGUGUACCAUACUGAACUCUAACCUUAGAGAUUGCUUGUGAAGUUUCACAUUUAUCUGGUAUAAAAAUGCAUAAGCACUGCUUUGCCUUUCCAUGGCCACACUGUGAGGGAGAGACUGCAGUGACAAGGUUUCAUGGCGUAUGCUAGUACCCCCAGUAGUGGAUUGCAAUAGUUUCAUUGCAGAUGAGGGAAGAGCCUAGAAUUAGAUUAGGCAGAGCAAAAGCUGAAGAAGUAGUUCUGUAUCCUGUGCAGAUAUUGUAACAACUGAAGAAAGGAGAAUUUGAGGCAAGGUUUUUGGAAGCUAAAAGUCAUUUAGUUUUAUUGAUGACACGGUUUGUGUAUUGUCUAGAUGGAAGGAACUGAAAAGCAAAUGGUACUGCUGUACCUUCAUAGCAGUGAUUUAGGAAGUGGGCUCUCUGAGAAAGGCUCAUAGAUGGAGUUCUCUUCACUGUAUUGAAGCUUCUAGGUUAUGAUUAAAAUUAAUCUAAUUAGUUGAGACAGAAAAAAACAUAGAAUAUAUUGCUGGAUUUGGCAAGCCAACAGACUUGAGGAAAGUGAGACAUACUGAAAUAAGUAGUGAUGAAAGUGAUUAACCCUUUAUGGUGAACUCUGAAGAGUGCUGUCACUCAUGACAUUAUGCUUCCUGUUAAGCACUGGGAUUAAAUGAGAAUCACCAGAUUCUCACAGGUAAGAAUUGGUGCCCACCGUAUAAAUUCACUUUCAGGAUAUACAGGGUUGUAAUUUAUAGGUAUUGGGACUUAGGUUGACAUGUAGAUAUUACAGCAAGGCUGAAAAAUGUCUUACUUUUUAUGGCUGUUGAAAGGCAACAUUGUGCAAGGUCUCAUGGCUUGGAUGAAAGCUGGGCCUGGCAUAGAGAGUGACAUAUGUUAGGAUGCUCAUUUACACUUCAAAUUCAACAGCACUCACUUUUACUCAUUGACAUUGAAGCCGGCUUUGAUAUUGUCAAAGAUUUGGCACAGGUCAGCAGCAAUAAUGGGCUACAGGACCUUAUAAAUAAAGCUGGCAUCAGACAUCAAGUUUCCAGGAAUACUUCUUUCAUAAAAGCACCUUGAAGAGUUCUGUAGCUAUUACACUUAUAAAGGACUCUAAGUAUUUCUGCAGCCUGAGCUCUAUAAACAAGUCUUUGUUAGGACAGUUUUCCAUGUUGGAGGGGAAUUUCACCCCAUCUCUUCAGCUGGCUUUAGUUUGAUGUUUUUGGGGAAUAAGCGGAAAAAAACACUUCAGCUUUUGUUGGUAGUCGUAUGGAAUAGAUGUAGUGUAUUCUGUGAUAAAACCAAGAGUAUGAGAGAGAGAAUUUAUGUCAAAUUUGGUACCUUCAUCCUUGGAUGGCUAAAAAUCACUAUUCUGCCAUUAAGAAUAUUCCGGAUAGAAAGCUACUUUAAGUGUAGAUAUUUCCAUGUGCUUUUCAUAAUAUGCAACAUGAUUUACUGUUAUCAGGCAGUUCUUUAAGUUACAAAUGACAUUUGCUCUACAGCUCAGAAUGUUAUGAUGUGUAACAAAGUCAAUGUCACAAAAAUCCAAGCUUCACUUGUUACUGCAAAAGCAAUGUAAGUCAGGGGAAGCGUCUAAGAAGUCCGGCUGGGAACUUUGUCAGCCCAGAAAAUCAUGGGAUGCAUUUUGUCUGUACUUGGAUGACCUCUGGGUGACUAAAAAAAAAGUAUGCAUAUUCAAAACACAGUGCAUCCUCCCCAAAAACAUAACCAAAAAUACUAUUCAGCUGUGUGGGGAAAAACAAGACUCCUGAAAAAGAAAGGUUACAUGGGAACAUGGAAUUUUAUUCUUCAAUGAAUUGAAAAGUCUGUAUUCACAGUAUUCACCUUUGAAGUGAAGUAGCUUGUGUAUCAAAAGUUUUCCAUUACUUUUGUAUGAGAAGUAGAAAGGGACAUGCACAAUGAUGUUGUAUUGUAGUCCACAUUAAGAAAGUUUGCAGAUAUCAUGUGUAUUUGAAAAUAUUGCGGGCAUUUUGAAAUGAUGAAGAAUGGAUUGUGGCUCUUGUCAGUACCUAACUGACAACAGAAAGGUAAAAUCUGUCCCAUUCAGGGGAUAACCUCUAGGUGUCACUUGAAGGCGUGAAAUAGAAAAUGGAUUUUAGAUUGGGCAAUUUACAGAGGUCUAAAUAUGCAGUGGGAUUCUAGCAGAAGUUGUUUGUGAAUUAUUUUCUCUUCAUAGGCUAAUCUAAUUUAGCUUCUGGUGCGUUGGGUGUUCUGAGCAAACAAACUUUUUCAUACAAGUUGAAGCUUGUGUAGUUUAUGUGACAAAUCACAGACAAAAUUUAGUGAUACUGUUUAGGAAAAGAAAUGCCACAAAAUGUCUAACGUCAAUUAUCAGCUCCUUUAGUAAGCUUAGAAAUGAGUCAUGCAAGAUACUUGAUAUCCUGAGAUCAGUGUAUCUUCCAUGCCAGAUUUUAGCGCUUUGAAAGCAAAUCGUGAGGCCUAGCUAUUUUGGAAAUCUUUUUUUCCCUAAAUAGUUGGAUAGUGUAACUAUGAAUGUCAGUACAUGCUUAUUUGGCAGUGUAGAUUUCUAUUGGCUUUUCUCAGAGCUUCAGUUCUUUGAGAUGAAAAGAUUUCCUUGUUAGUUCAGACCUUGACACAGCCCUUGAAGUUAGUAUCUGUAGUUCAGGGGAACACAUAAGCAUGUAACAUUCAGCCCUUUCUCAGUAAAGAUUUUUGCAUGUGCUUCUGAAUGUCCUUUACCCUCACUGACUUUUUUGAGCUGCAGUUAUCAUUCUAAAUUUUAGUAGAAAAUGGAUUAUUUUUUCCUUUCUGCUUUGUCACUUAAUUGUGGGUGACAAUUCCCCCAAAGCUAAAAUUUCUGAAAUGGAGAAGUCUUCUUUCACAGUUUGCUACAGUUUUUACCUGUAGGCUGAUAACAGAAAAUCAAUGCACUAAUCUGAAUGAUAAAUCUCCUUUUGUCUAUGUGAAGAUGUUUUCAGUUUAGGAACCUUUUAUGAAACUUCAGUCUUAGUUUUAUUAGUAAUGGAGAGAGUUGGAGCGAGGUUGAAACUAAAAAGUAGCACAGUCCUAUGAUCUGGUGUUAAUGGGCAAUAUUAGAUGACUUACUUUUGAAUGAAUAAUUCUUUGUUUUAAUUAGGUUGAAGUUUAUAGGAAGUUCCUAUCAACACACCCUCUUAUCUCAGGUUGUGUACUGAUGUGUUCAGUCUUGAUAAUGUGCUUUAUUUUUAGAACACGAAGAAGCAUGAUAUAAGCUUAUUUUGUUUAACUGCCAGAAAAUAAGGAUGCAAAAGCCAUAGAUUCAAAUUGCCUUUUCAGGCAGAGAAGUCAUCGCCCUCUGCAGCAAAGUUUUGAUAGUGAUUUCAUUAGGAUUAAAGUUUCUCCAGCACUAUCUCCUGAACUACAGCUAAAACUCUACUGGUUUUUUGUUUUGUUUUGUUUUCCCCUGUCUUCAGAACAAUAAUAUUUACAAAGUCUUGUAUUCUUGAAAGCAGGUUCUUGCCAAGGAAGCAGUUUAGAAGCUGCAGGUACCUCGCCACACGAUGGCAGAGUAACAGCACUUGUCACUAAGUCUGUUUUUUUUUCUGAAGCAUUUGAAAACACUGGUUAUUGGAUCUAAUUUUUUCCUGCAACUAAGUGCAGCACUAUUUAACUUUUCAAAUUGUCAUUGUUUCCCUUCUAUGGUUACUGCAUCUUUGCAUGCAUUUUAGUUACACUGUUUUCUGUUUGUGUUAUUUUUUCAGUUAUACAAUAUGCUUUAAUUAAGAAUAAUGAUGAAAGAAUAAUGACGAGAGCUUGGUUCUGCUGUAUAUCCCUAUUGUAUCCUAUGAUUAAUAGUUUUUUAUUUGUUUGGAUUACUUGUGGUCUCCAUCUUUUCUUAGAAGACUAAUGUAUUCUUUAAAAUGUUUCUGUUGAUUUGUAUCAUUUGUAUCAUUAGGUCAUUUCAGAGAUUUUAAUUCAUAGAUUUCUGGUAGGUUCUUAUAUGUGUGUUUUCAGAAUAUGUAAGCAUAUUAUUUUACUCAUUUCUUAUCAUAUUGGAAUAAUUUAUUUGUUUGCAUUAUUAAUAUUCGUCUCUUUCCAAGCUUCCAGUGUGGUCUGUUGAAUAAAAAUCAGUAUUCCUGCCAGCAAAAGAGUUCCAUUUAACUUCAGAAAUACCUCAAAUUUCUAUUGCAAGCGGGCUGUUGGGCAGCCUUGUUUUUGUUUGCUUCUAAUCCAUCUGUUGUGGAGCCUUGCUGCAGUUACACUGAAGGUAUCUGAGAGGUAAAUGAAGCAGUGUGAAUGUUUAACUUCAUUGCGAUUUUGCAAUGAAAAGAUCUGGAAUCAGAUAAGGUGGGAAAUCUCAUUUUCUCAUGAAAUUCUGCUCUCAAACAAAUGUGCAGUUUAUUUCUGCAGUUACGGGCGCUGAGUAAUUAGGCGACUUUGCCUUUGUUAAGGUGUUGCAUUGGUGCAGUAGUGCAAUCAAAUUUUGGUAUUAGCACAGAAAAAAAAUAAAACUUUACCUUUAAUUUCUCAUAAAGGCACCAUUCCAUCAAAGUUCACAUGUGAUUUAUAAUGAUACUUUAUAAGUCAAUUUACAAAUGUGGUCCAAAGGUAAUGCCUGCUAUUUUAAUAUCUCAUGAUGGCAGAGGUGGAUAUUGGUGGUAUGGCAGUAGAGUCUGAACUUUCCCACCAGCGUUCCAUUGCAUGUUGCUGUGUCACAGAUGAAGCAGAGGGGCAGUUGGACAAAAUGGCAUCUGACAUGGAAAUAUGAAGCAAAUGUGUGUCCUUGAAUUCCUCCAUUGGAAGAAAUGGCACCCACUGACCUUCACCAAUGCUUGCUGAAUUUUUAUGGAGACCAAACAGUGGAUGUGAGCACAUUUAGGCAGUAAGUGGUGCAUUUCAGCAGUGAUGAUCACAAUGUGAAAGACACAUCACAUUCCAGAUGGCCAUGCACAGCUGGCACACUACAGAAGUGAGAGCAGCUUGAUCAGUUCAUCCAUGCAAACUGCAAAAAGCUUAAUAUCACCUUCAAUUAAUUGGAAAUGAUGGUGGAAUAUUGCAAAGUUUGAGCCAAGUGGGUCCCAUGAAAGCUCAUGCAGGAAUAGAAAAAACAUGCAAGUUUGUCAGAACAUACUGAACCAAUACAAGGCUGAAGUUGACAGAUUUUUACAUUAUGGUGUGUAGGCUUUUGUUUGUCUCUGACAAAAAUGCAUAGCUAAUGGUGGUGACAAGGCUGAAAAAUAGUGUUUUGCUGAAAAUUUGCCCCCACAAAUAGUGUUAAUAUGCUUAUUAUUAUGUUAUUAUCUUUGUAUCUCUUAUAGUUCCAUGGAAAUAAAUAGGAGGCAUUACUUUUGGAACAGUAUUUCAAAUUUAUUGGAGUAAAAUGAACUUAAAAUGGCUAAUUAAAUAUCAUGUUGGUUUGAUUAUACAGAAUAAAACAGCACCUGAUUUUGCACAGGAUAUUCCUCCUUAAAUAGUAUGCAAAACAAUAACAGAUGCUUGUAAUUAAAAUGAUGUUUAUCAUUAAAAAGAAAAAAUCUGGUAAGUAAUUCAUAUAUUCAGCACGUAAGUCUAAUCACAGUUCUCCCAUUUCUGCCCUUUUUGUUGAGCUGGAAACCAGGAAUUUACUGAACAUGCUUUUCAACCUGUUCAGUUUUCAUUUUUGGCUACCUUUACAUUCUACUUUCCGUAUCUCUUCAAUGAAGACAUGAUAGUCUUUAUAUACAUCCUUAUCUUGUCACAACUCAUAAUUGAUAUCUAUUUUAGCCAUUGUUUCUAUGUACAUAUUAGCAAAUCUGCAUUUUUAAUUCCCACUUCCAUGCCUGUCUGGAUUCUGUUAUCUCCUGAGCAAAGGCAUAACAUCAUUUGAGGUUCUUGCCAAAAGUUUCUAUUUUCCCUGUUUUUGAUUUCAGUGUUCUUAGUAGUAACUCAGCUCCUAACUUUGCUUCUGAAACCAGAAAUCUAAGAAUUAUCCUUGAUACUCUCUUCUACAUUCCAGUUUUCUCUAAUGUUUUCUCUGUUUUUUGGAAUGCAGUUUGUGCUUAAUGUAGUAUUGCCUCCUCUUUCUGUGCUUGUGUCUUUUUUUUUUUUUUUUUUUAACUGGCUUCUUUUUUUAUAGUCUGUGUCCUUUUUCUGUUCAACUAGGUACCUUAAAGGCAGAUCUUACUUCUUGAGACUGCAAAAGAAUAAUGGCAAGCCCUCUUUUGCUUCAGGAAGUAGAAGACCCAUGUAUUUUGCCUUUGUUUUUGAGCUGUGUAAAACAAGGACAUGGCAACCUGACCACAUCUGAAGCAGAGUUGGAAAUGUUCCCAUCAGUCUUCCAGAGAUUCAGGAAAGAGCAUCUUUUAUUCCUUAAUAGCUUUCUCUUGACCAUCUGUGGUCAAGCCAUGCUUUCUCCUUACCGUUUCAAGAGCCUGGAUUGUUCUCAGAGCCAGAAGGGGAGAAGCAGAAAGUCCAGCUGCAUGAGGGAAUUCUGCUUUUUUCUUACCCUGUGACUAUUGGAAAGAUUCUUCUCUUCACAUUUCUUUACAUCUAGGAUUUGGAAAUGCUUUAAAAGCUGAUAGCUUCAAGAAAGCAGAGGAGACUAAGAAGGAUAGAAUGAAUUCAGAGGGCAUGUUUUUCAAGAGCCAGGAAUCUGACAUACACGGAAUUGUGAUCUCUUGUAGCAGAAGAUGAAGUUCUUAUGGUGAUAUGUUUCAAAUGAGACUAGCUGUGAUUCAGACACACCUGAUACAAGCAUAUCAUUAUCUCUGUCAUUUUCUCAUUAAUGAUCAUGUGGUUGUUAUAAAAAGCUGACAGAAAAUUGCAUAAAUUAUCAUACAAUUAUUAUAUAAUAAUUAGCCCUCAUAUGUAUAUAAUAUAGAAAAAUUAAGUCAUGAAAUGAACUUGCUUGCAGAAGUGCUAAAAAAAUUACCUGUCACACACAGUUUACACUGAAAAGGCAGUAGAAGAAUGCAUUUUUUCAUUGGUAAACGAAGCCUUAAAUCUCCAGGCAAACUGAAUUUCAUUAGCAGAGAAAUUAAAAUUUGAUCUUUCUAUUGAAAUAGCUGCCAAGGUUAAGGGAUCACAGCAAAUAUGCAUGAUAUGUUGCUCAUACCACCUGGGAAUGGGGGGAGUUGUUCCCUUUUCCUACAGUAAGUAGUAGUUAUUACUCAGGGAGACCAUGCCCAGGGGUGCAGCCCUUCCAAGAACCAGGGCAUAAUUCUAGCCAUUGCAAAAAUUAUUCACUAUUUUCAAUUCUUAGUUCUGCUAACCAUGUAAAAGCACAGAGACAUUCCAAAGUAUCUGACAGAUAAUGUGUAUUUUUCUGUCAUUUGUUUUUCUCCAAAAGUUGUGAUAUAUUCUUUGUAGUGCAACCUUUGUAUUGUUUUGAAAUAAACUUGCUUUUCUACGUC
Molecule: long non-coding RNA, 8110 nt
Organism: Tympanuchus pallidicinctus (lesser prairie-chicken)
Lineage: Eukaryota; Metazoa; Chordata; Aves; Galliformes; Phasianidae
Exons: 2
Source: RefSeq, a predicted model, not a curated record